Molecule: ribosomal RNA, 254 nt
Filed under: uncultured bacterium
Lineage: Bacteria
Description: partial 16S ribosomal RNA
Rfam family: Bacterial small subunit ribosomal RNA
Source: RNAcentral
UACAGAGGUCUCAAGCGUUGUUCGGAUUCAUUGGGCGUAAAGGGUGCGUAGGUGGCGCCGUAAGUCAGGUGUGAAAUUUCGGAGCUUAACUCCGAAACUGCAUUUGAUACUGCGGUGCUUGAGGACUGGAGAGGAGACUGGAAUUUACGGUGUAGCAGUGAAAUGCGUAGAGAUCGAUAAGGAAGACCAGUGGCGAAGGCGGGUCUCUGGACAGUUCCUGACACUGAGGCACGAAGGCCAGGGGAGCAAACGGG